UCUAAGUAUAACCUGCCAGACAGGGAAACUGCGUACGGCUCAUUACACCAGCCUUAAUUUACUUGACCUUGACCACCUACUUGGAUAACUGUGGUNAUUCUAGAGCUUAUACAUGCACCAAAGCUCCGAUCCUCGCGGAGAGGAGCGCAUUUGUUCGCCACAAAACCAAGCGCCCAUCUGGGCGUCCAGUGCUGAACCAGAACAACUCAGCUGAUCGCACGGUCUUGUACCGGCGACGUGUCUUUCAAGUGUCUGCCUUAUCAACUUUCGAUGGUAGUGUACCUGACUACCAUGGUUGUGACGGGUAACGGAGGAUAAGGGUUCGACUCCGGAGAAGGGGCCUGAGAAAUGGCCACUACGUCUAAGGAUGGCAGCAGGCGCGCAAAUUACCCACUCUCAACGCGAGGAGGUAGUGACGAGAAAUAACGAGACCGUUCUCAUACGAGGCCGGUUAUUGGAAUGGGUACAAUUUAAA
Molecule: ribosomal RNA, 475 nt
Filed under: unidentified nematode Sourhope farm
Lineage: Eukaryota; Metazoa; Nematoda
Description: SSU rRNA
Rfam family: Eukaryotic small subunit ribosomal RNA
Source: RNAcentral